UACGUAGGGUGCAAGCGUUAAUCGGAAUUACUGGGAGUAAAGCGUGCGCAGGCGGUUUUGUAAGUCUUUCGUGAAAGCCCCGGGCUCAACCUGGGAAUUGCGAUGGAGCCUGCAAGGCUUGAAUCUGGCAGAGGGGGGGUAGAAUUCCACGUGUAGCAGUGAAAUGCGUAGAGAUGUGGAGGAACACCGAUGGCGAAGGCAGCCCCCUGGGUCAAGAUUGACGCUCAUGCACGAAAGCGUGGGGAGCAAACAGG
RNAcentral lists this ribosomal RNA (254 nucleotides) under uncultured bacterium. RNAcentral's name for it is "partial 16S ribosomal RNA". It matches the Rfam family "Bacterial small subunit ribosomal RNA", at positions 524 to 776 of the family's 1533-position model. The record is from RNAcentral.